Molecule: ribosomal RNA, 523 nt
Filed under: uncultured bacterium
Lineage: Bacteria
Description: partial 16S ribosomal RNA
Rfam family: Bacterial small subunit ribosomal RNA
Source: RNAcentral
ACUCAAAUGAAUUGACGGGGACUUGCACAAGCAGUGGAUUAUGUGGUUUAAUUCGAUGAUAAACGAAGAACCUUACCAAGGUUUGAAACCUAGCUGAAUGCAGGCAGAAACGUUUGCAGUCCCACAAGGACAGUUAGGCAGGUGAUGCAUGGCCGUCGUCAGUUCGUAGUUUGAACCGUUCCCUUAAGUGGGGUAACGAACGCAACCCUCGUUGUCUGUUAUACGUAUCAGGCGAGACUGCCCUCGAUUGUGUUCAGAAAAUUAAAAAUUUCUGAAUAGAAUCGAGGGAGGAAGGCGAGGAUGACGCCAGGUCAGCAUGUCCCUUUGAUACCUUGGGCUACACACAUAAUACAAUGGCAACUACAACGGGUCGCGACGAGGAAACUCUGAGCCAAUCCUAAUAAAAGUUGCCCCAGUUCAGAUUGGGGGCUGAAACUCGACCCCAUGAAGUUGGAAUUGCUAGUAAUCGCGGGUCAGCUAUACCGCGGUGAAUACGUUCUCAAGUCUUGUACACACCGCCCGU